UACGGCGGGGGCUAGCGUUGUUCGGAAUUACUGGGCGUAAAGCGCACGUAGGCGGACUGUUAAGUCGGGGGUGAAAUCCCGGGGCUCAACCCCGGAAUGGCCUUCGAUACUGGCGGUCUUGAGGUCUGGAGAGGUGAGUGGAAUUCCGAGUGUAGAGGUGAAAUUCGUAGAUAAUAGGAGGAACACCAGUGGCGAAGGCGGCUCACUGGCCAGAUACUGACGCUGAGGUGCGAAAGCGUGGGGAGCAAACAGG
Molecule: ribosomal RNA, 253 nt
Filed under: uncultured bacterium
Lineage: Bacteria
Description: partial 16S ribosomal RNA
Rfam family: Bacterial small subunit ribosomal RNA
Source: RNAcentral